UUGGGAACUGUAAUUGGUUAAGAGCAUUGGAAAUUCUAGCUCUCUGAGGGGACCCCCUAACAACCUCCCCCCUCAGCAGCUGCAAAUAUCUGGGAACAGGCAGAAGGAUUUCCAGGUCAAUAGUGUUUGUCAUUAGCAUGGGGAUUGUGUGGAAGAUCAACUGUGUGUCAGCAAGUCAGGAGGUUAAAGAGCUACAAGGACAGUGUACAAGCAAAUCAAUAGGUUGGUUCAUCUCUGGUCCCAAUAUAUAAAAAUGGAAAUUGCUUCCCCUCAUUGUGAAAAUUUUCCAAAUAUCAUACACUCUGCUUCCUGUAUCUAGUUUCUAAUCCAGGCAGAAGGCCUUUUUGGUAGUGGAGCACCUUCCCCUCAGAUGUCAAGGAGAUAAAGAACCACAUAAUUUUGUAUUGAAGGCAGCCCUGUAUUGGGAAGUUUUUAAUGUUUGAUGUUUUAUAUAUGCUGUAAGCCACCCAGAGUGGUUGGGGAAAGCAGUCAGAUGGGUGGGGUAUUAUUAAUUAUUAUCAUUAUUAUUAUUAUUAUUAGACGACUUUUCUUCUUGCUCCAUGAUUGCUAACUUUAUGCAGGCACCAAGUUAAAAUUGCUGUGUUUACCCACUCAAGUGAGGGACUUUGUUGGAAAUUCUUAAGUAUAUAUUAUCUACCACAGGUAUGGGAAACUUUUGGCCUUCCAGAUGUUGCUGAGCUAGAACUCCUCUCACCCCUGGCUACUGGCCAUGUUUGCUAGGAUUGAUGGGAGUUGUAGUCCAGCAAUAUCUGAAGGGCCAAAGACUCCCUACUCCUCAUCUAUCAAAACAUCCUUAUCCACAUAUCUGUUGACACAUCCAAUCAAGCCCACAAGGUUGGUAAGCUUAGCUAGAAUUUGUGGAAGCCAUGCUGAGCAUUCCUCAGCACAGCUUGUUCUUCUACGUUUGAUGAAUUUAAUAAUAAGAAUGUACACUGAUUUAAACAUAACUGAUGUUAAGCUACAUUCUUGACACCACACUUCCCUAAAUACCCAUAUAAAUAAAUCAGCAUCACGUUAAGAGAUCAGCAUCACAUUGGCUACUUUCCAGUCCUCCAGCACAGAAGCUGGUUUUAGUGACAAGCUGCAUCUUUUCUGAGAAGAAGCAAUUUCACAUAUGAGUCGUCUUGGGUGGAUGCCAUCCAGAGUUGGUGACUUGUUAAUUUUUAAUUUGUCAAUAAACCCUGGGACGUCAUCUCUUAUCACUUCUACUUGACUCGCUUUGUCAGAUUGUUCCUCCUGAGAAGAUUGGUUCAGGCAGCGGUAUCUGUCUAAUGUCUUCUGCAGUGAAGACAGAUGCAAAGAAUUCAUUCAGCCUUCCUGAAACCUUUUAAUCCUUUAGAAAUCCUUACACUUUUCUGUCCUCUAAUUGUCCAAAUGUCUCCCUAAUUAGUUUGCUUCUUUUGUCCUUGUUGAAGGUGUGUUGGUUUUGGUCCUUGUGUUUUUGGCAAUUCGUUUAUUAAAAAUUAUUGCCUACUUCAAUCAAUCAAUCAAUCAAUCAAUCAAUCAAUCAAUCAGUGGCUUGGAUAUAUUGAUUGUAAUCAUCAGGAGCCAUGCAUUCCAUAUUGUGGGCCCAAUGCUGGGGUACGCCCCCUCACCAUGUGAUCAGACCUCUCCCCACCCCCUGAUUUAAAUUGAAUUUCCAGCACCUUGUGAAAACAUCUUAAAUUUCAGCAGUUAUUUUAAAUAUCCCCCCCAAUUGAAUAGUGGGCUUUAACUGAUUUUUUUCUUUUUUUGUGUCUUGUUAACCUUAUAAUACGCUGCUUGAACAAUCCAUUUAUUUAAAUAAAUAAGAUUUUAAAAUUUAAGCUUUUAAAUCAAUGCAGCUGAAAAUGAAAUAAAAUACAUUUGAAACAGAAUCCAAAUGGAAAGGGAGCAGAAUUUGUUUGUUUCAAAAAAGGAGAGAUUACAUAUGAAUUACAGUACAGAGAAAGUACAAAAGCAAAAUAAAACAAAUAUUUUAUAUAUUUCACAAAAUUUACACACAAUUUGUUUGUAAUAAAACCUCAGUGCUGUUUACAAAAUAGCAGCCAACCAAUAGAAAAUGAUAGCAGCAGUGAAAACUGCCACCACUACCCAUAAGACAAAACUUGAUUUGACAACAGAAUGAGUUUAGGGAUGGGGCCAGGUGGGCUUAAUUGGCAAGGGAGUUCCACAGCACUGGCACCACCACUGGAAAGGCCCUGCCCCCUGCAUUAAUACCAAAUUCUUUCUUCAUGUGCCUGAUUGCCAGCUUACAUUUGCUGAACAGCUGUGUUUAAUAUAUCUUAGUAACUCAUCAGGAAGAUGGCAAGGAAAGGGAGUGCACACACUAAUCAUGGAACUGGGAGCCCAGUGGCUGCCAUUGAUAGAUGUAGCUUUACAUACCCCCUUUUCUUUCCUGUAAUCACUUCUACUAAUAGUGAACUCAGGUGGUGAGCAUUAACUGAGAAACAAGAGGCAGGUAUCCACAAGGAAAGGGGGCCUUCAAGGUUUGCAGUUCACAAAAAUCUACCUCCAGACCUAAUUGAAUAAUCAAAAAUCAGCACAAUGAAGACUGAGUAUGCUUGUUAGUGUUGGACCAUUCACUGUGAGUUGGAAGAUAAAAAUUUAAAAAACUGGAUGGAGGGCAUUGCUGAUUGGCUGGUAACCUAUUUAGAGGUGAGUAGCCUAUAACAUUUUGUUGUAGAUCUCAUCCGUGUCCAAUGGCUAAAUAUUACCCGCAAUAUUUCAUGGUUUACUAGAGAACAAAGUUGAAUUACAGUACCAUUUGUAGUAUUAUCAUGGUACUUUGACCGUGGACAUAAAACUUUUUCAUCUGUUUAAUUUUUAAUCUAUGUUUUAUAGCAAUAUUGGAGAUACGGGAUAAGCUUACACAGUUACCCCAGCGAUUUCAUGUUGACAUCAUCGGUUUGUAAAGGCAGAAGACAGCUCCACUGACUUAUUACAAGGUUAUGGGAUUUGAUGAUGUAAUGUAAGGCAGAUGCUGUGGAAAUAGGAUAUCAAAUAAAUGAUAGCUUACCAUGAUUUCUAUCUCCCCCCAACUGAAAAAUAAAUUUUGAAAGCCUUAAAUACUGGGACAUUUCAAACAAAGGAAUUUGUCUGUGCUCAGAUCUGUGGGGUGUAACAGAAAAACAAGGAAACAUUAAAUGAAUUUCACUGGAAACAAAAAAAAAGGGGGGGGGAAUGCUGAAAUUGUCAGCUACAGAAGUAACUUCACAUGCUGUUUUUAUGAACUGUCCUACCUUGUCUCCAUGCAGAAAAAGAAAAAGAAAUCACAUUUAAUUGUUAUUUUGUUGUUAUCUAACAUCUAACCAACUCAAGAAAAAUUAAAAGAAUGGGUAUAAUAAAUGAUAAGCUGGAAGGAUCUCCAGCUGAAUGCAGACUUUUUCAUAUGGGAUGUGUGCUUGAAUGCACAUUCAAAUAUCUAUCCAAAGAUCUAUUUCAGUGUGCAUUCUGUCAUGGCCAAAUCCGGAGCAGGGCUUCACAGAGAGGGCAAUGUGAUUGAUUUGCCUUCCCUGACAUCAUCAUGUAGACAAACCCUCAUAGUCACUGCGUAACCCAAAUUGGUUGUGAUCCCUUGGUGAAAGUGGAAAAAGAAACCUUGUUGAAGUUAACAAAAUAGCUACAAACAAGUAUUGACUGGGAAACAACGAUCACCCAAGGGCAGCGGUGGAACAAGCCAAUUGGGUGCCUGGGGCGGCACGCGUGCCCUGUGCCCAGGGGCGGGGCCAGCAGCCCACGGGGUGGGGAGAGCCAGGGCAAGACUCUCCGCAGAGCCUCUGAGGAGUCUGCUUGCCUCCUCCCACUCAGCCGCCCUACAGCUGAGGGGGAGGAGGCGGGCAGACCAUUUGGGGCAGCACAGAGGCUGUGGGUGCCCAAGCCACCAUGUCACUCCCAGGAGAGAGUGGGUGCCGCCUGGCAUUUUGUCACCCCCUCAGUGGUGACACCCGGGGCAGACCACCCACAAUGCCCCCUUCCUCUGACCCUGCAAAAGGGUAGGAGAAACUGUGCAAAAUGGGAGUUUGCAGGACACCAUUGGCAAUGAUGUAUGGAAGUGAGAGCUGGACCAUAAACAAGGCUGAUCGCCGAAGAAUUGAUGCUUUUGAAUUAUGGUGCUGGAGGAGACUCUUGAGAGUCCCAUGGACUGCAAGAAGAUCAAACCUAUCCAUUCUGAAGGAAAUCAGCCCUGAGUGCUCACUGGAAGGACAGAUCGUGAAGCUGAGGCUCCAAUACUUUGGCCACCUCAUGAGAAGAGAAGACUCCCUGGAAAAGACCCUGAUGUUGGGAAAGAUGGAGGGCACAAGGAGAAGGGGACGACAGAGGAUAAGAUGGUUGGACAGUGUUCUUGAAGCUACCAGCAUGAGUUUGACCAAACUGCAGGAGGCAGUGGAAGACAGGAGUGCCUGGCGUGCUCUGGUCCAUGGGGUCACGAAGAGUCAGACACGAAUAAACAACAACAACAAUUGACAAUGGGACUUACUUAUGAGAAAGCAUUUCAGAAGAAUUUUGAUAUUUAUUGAAAAUUGAAAUUUUUUUUAAAUUACAGAGAAAAAACAAAGCAGAAAAGGAAAGAAAAAAGAAACAAAGAAAAAACAAACCACAUCAAACAAUACAAAUUCAAAAAACAAAAAUACGCCGCAAACAGACAAUAAUAACUCCAUCAUUCUCAAAUCCUCAACUUUCAUUACCUUCUUUCUUUGACCUCCUCCUCCUCCCUUUUUUUGUAUCCUAGUUAAUAAUUAUCGCAGCAAAUCCUUUCCAUAUUUCAUAAUAUUCUGUCAUUACAUUACCUUAAUCUAUUUUCAUCUUAUCUUAUAGAAAACCUUAAAAACUUAAAACUUAAAUCUUAUUUUUACCGACUUCUCACAACCAUAAUAUUCUUACCUAAUUCUUUAAACAUUUUUACUAGAGCCAAGUAAUUUCAUUCCAGCAUUUUUCUAACAUUCAUCAAUUUUAUAAAACAAUCCUGGUAAUAAAAAAAAAGAGAUAAAAAUAAUCGAGUCUUCCUCCAGCGUCCCUUCCUCCUGGUCCCGGGUUUUGUCAGUCCUUUUUAUCCCAUCGAUCUAGCGCAUUAACCUGGUAACCUUAUAUCCGAGGCCCUUAAAUCUCUUCCAUGUCCCUUCCGCAGCUCUUCUUCAUAUUCUCCUUUCACUCGUGGGAACUCCAGCUUGGUGAUGUUUUUGACCCUUUUCAGCAAAUCAGCCCCUUUUCCAUAGUCCAGACUAAACUCCAUGUGGUAUUUAAAAACAUGUUUCAGAAUCCCUCCAAAAUUGAGAGCCCCACAGCUCCAAACAUCUCACGGCCCAUUGCCAGACUCGGAAAGUCCAAACAUCCCUGCAUAGGGGGGUCUAUCCAACCCCCCAUUUCCAAACCAAUCCAAACUUUAUCUUUCCAAAUCUGGCUUUUUCCAAGUUCAUUUGUCAAGUCCAAAAGCUCAUGCUCCUGCAAGGCCGCAGCUCCCUCCAUCUCUGGCGCCCAAGAUUCAGCAACAUCCUCUUCUCUCAUCUGCUCUGUCAGGACGCACUCCUGUUCUAAUUCCUGGGUGGGCUCCACAUAGUUUCCCACUGCCUGUUCAAAAAUUCUGGCCGCAUUAGUCAUCAAAUCCAUCUUCUCAUUUAACUGUUCCAGUAGGGCACUUGUUUUCCAGAGAGCACACAACAGAGCCUCUGAAUACAUUGUCCUACAAGGUCACAAGUCCAUUCCCACGAUUGUAAUCUGUGACAGCUGCAAGCUCCCUGGAAUUAGUUACAGUUUCACAGUCUCCCUCUAGGGGAGAACUUCUAUUUGUUCUUGCAACAAAGUAUCCUUUUGAGAUAUUUUGUCAAUAUUUGUUCCUUAAAAUGCGAAAGGAAACAGUGGAAUCACUAUGUUUCUCUUCCUUUAACUAUCUGUCAAAAACGUUUGUCUCUGGUCAAUGAGCUUCAAACGUCAGUCCUGACACCCUGCUCCAGGAUCAGGACGGUGGAAAGUUACUUUACUUUAAACUCACUUCUGCAGGUUUAAACAGUCCGAAAAAGAUCCCCCUUCUUCUCCUGCUGUCGAAGGGGGGUUCCACAAUUUUAAAUGAUGAAAUCCAAUCCUUUAGAGGCGAUUUUCUGAGCUCUAGUUUACGUUGUCUUUGCUUUAUUCUGUCUACAAAUAAACGGAAGGCUGACUUCCUGUUUAGACCUUCCCGUUUCAGUACCAAAUUGAAGUAAAUUUUUAAGUCCAAUUCCUUUCUGCACGCAAGUCCUUAUUUAAAGUCCGAUUGUUCAAAUUUUAAGUACUCACGGGUGCUUAUUUUAGAAGCCAAAUUGUCCCAGGAGAAAGGCAGCGCUCUCCGGCAACGGCUAUGCGGCUUCGCUCCACGGAAAUAGCAGUUGACUCACAGCACCGCGCCACUUCCCCCUCUUCACUUCGGAGCCCGUUAGUGGGUUCCUUUGCGGGUUGGGGGGGCGCAAAGGGUGCCCGCCGAGUCCCAUGGUCACAGGCUUCAUCCGCCUGUGAUUUUUAGCAGGGGAUGACAGAGGACGAGAUGGUUGGACAGUGUUCUUGAAGCUACCAGCAUGAGUUUGACCAAACUGCAGGAGACAGUGGAAGACAGGAGUGCCUGGCGUGGUCUGGUCCAUGGGGUCACGAAGAGUCAGACACGAAUAAACAACAACAACAAUUGGCAAUGGGACUUACUUAUGAGAAAGCAUUUCAGAAGAAUUUUGGCCAAGAAGAAGGGUAUUGUUGGAUCAUAUAGUGCUAUGCUAAGUGAUGUGUGGAGCUCCCAUCUCUAACUGCGGGAAAGCCAUGCCUCAGCAAAGCUAAAGCAAAACUGCCAUCUGCUCCUUCUUAUACACAGUCUGCUAAGCAUUCCUUUCCAAAAGCAGCCCUGCAGGUGAAUUGCUUAUUCAGGGGACCAUCUACAGCCAUCGAGAGACAUUAACAUCAUUUUGUCAAGUCCCAGGCUGGAGUCAGGCAUUGCUUUAAGGCAAAAACCUUAGUGAUAAGAACCAUUCAAAGCAAACCCAUUCCCAGUAAUCAGACAGCAAACUUGCAAAUUUGAAGGCUGGGACCUCACUUAACUUAUAAUUAGGCUGUAAGCCUGUGAAAAAGGCCCGUUCUUAAUGUUUAAUCUAGCAGUUUUCGGUGCUUUAUAAAUAUUAUGAUGAACUUUUCUGGGAAUAAAAAUGCAUGGGAUUGGACUGUAAUGGCUGUAUAAUGUCCAAUGCACAGUCAAACAAGUGCAAAUUUCUACCCAAACUGUAGCUUCUAAAUAAUAAUAUUAAUAUACCCUGUCCAUUUCCUAUAAAUGUAUUCUGGUAUUUUUGUGGUGUUUUUUCACUCUAAAUGUAAUAUAAUGUUAUAGAUACAGACUAACUUCCUUUGAUCAGUAUUUAUUAUCUUGUCACUUGCCUUGAUAUACCGGUAAAAAAAAUGCAGCUGCUUUGAUAAAUGGAUUUGAAAGGUUAUCUGGUUUCACAUAAGCUUCUGCAAGUUGCUUCUGUAUAUUAUUCUGCUGUAAUGUUAUUUUGGAGCUUCUUAAAGCUAUGCUUCAGGGAGGCAGGGGGAGAGAAUUAGAUCCUUUGAGGCAGAAGGGGAAAACGAUCGCUGAAUCAUUAUUCACUCUUUCCUACCCCCUACCCUUGUUUAGAGAUGGUGUGCAAGAGUAUAAUCCCAGAGAGAGAGAGAGAGAGAGAGAGAGAGAGAGAGAGACAGACACUGACUUCUGCACAAAACAGGGUGCUCUACACCAGUGUUCUUCAAUCUUGGGUCCUCAGAAAUUCUUGGACUACAGCUCCCAUCAUCCUCAAGGAUGCACACCAAGGUUGGGGAACUGGUGACCCUCAAGACGUUGGUGGACCACAACUCCCAUCGUCCCUGACUACUGGCUGGGGCUGAUGGGACAGUUGGAGUCCAAUGACACCUGGAGGGCUACAAAACCCCAAUUGCUGAUUUAGCAACUGGGGCUAUGCUGAAUCCUUGAAACUGGUUAGCAAUUGCACCCUCAGUGGGUUAAGCUCUUAGCUCGUAUCUAGGUGGAUGUCUGUCUAUACAUGCAAUCUCUGCUACCACUGGGCAGCAAGAAUGGGGAUAUGCUUAAGAUAGAUAUGAGUGUGUGGAACCAAGCCUUAUGAGGAGUGGUUGAAGGUUGGGUAUGUUUAUCCCGGAAAAGAGACUGAGAGGAGAUAUGAUCACCGUCUUCAAAUAUCUGAUGGGCUGUCAUAUGGAAGAUGCAGCAAGAUUGCUUUCUCCUGCUCCAGAAGGUAGGACUGGAACCAAUGGCUUCAGAAAGGAGAUUCUGACUAAACAUCAGAAUAACUUUCUGACAGUAAGAGCUGUUCGACAGUGGAAAAUACUUCGGGAGGUUGUGAACUCUCCUUCCUUGGAGGUUUUUAAGCAGAGGUUGGAUGGCCACCUGUCAUGGAUGCUUUAACUGAGAUUUAGUGGUGUUGCAAGGGGUUGGCCUAGAUGAUCCUCAGGCUCCUUUCCAACUCUGCAGUUCUAUGAAUCAACAGAAGCUGCCUUAGACUGAGUCAGUCUCUUUGACCUUUUACCUCAGUAUUGCCGGGUUUCCUUCUGUGAAAUGAGUACAUUUUUGGUGCCAUGAGAGUUUCAAAAUCUGCCCCCUUCCCCAGAUGACAAUAGUUUUUUGGGGGGGCCUGACCUACGUGCUUCAAUAUCCACCAGUCCCAGUUUUGGGUUUGGGAGGAACUGUGAUGUGCCCUCAGGAGGGCUCCUGUUCUGCCUCACCCCCAUUCUAAGGCUUGAGAGUGUCAGGAGUGCAUGCAGGAGCCAGGCCCUGUGACUGGUAGGGCUUCGCAGGACUGGGACUUUCCUAAGUUUGUUCUGAAGAGGCAAGGCGUGGCCACACAGGUGAGACCGAUUGGUAACUCACAGCACCUGGUGGCAAGAGCCAGGAAGGGAUAUAAGGUCAGCAUUUCCCUUUGGCUGUUUGCCACAGCAACAUGCUUUCUGCCUUGCUGCGUUUGGCUUCUUGACUCCUGGUUUCCUGACCCUCGGACCCUUGACUCCCAGCUCUAUGACCCUUGGACUCUUGGCUUCUGGACUCCUGGCUUCCGGACUCCCGUUCCUGCUCCCACCCCGCCAUCUUGCCCCCAGUCCUGAUGUCCUCCGCCAGGACUUUGACCGUCCAUGACAGAGAGUGAGUGUUGGUGUCCAGAGGCAGCCAACACUUCUUUUCCCUUGCCUGUCCUCUCCUUUUAGGUCUGACAGUGAGAAUGAGGAGGCCUGUGAAGCCCAAUUCACAUUGCCCAGAGGGAGAGAGAAGGCAGCAGUUGCUGCUCUUUGGACUGGUAUUUGAAUGAGCGGAGAUGGAAUGGCAAGUGCUUCCUGUCCACUGAUCCUGCAUAGGAGAGGACUGUAUGUGGAAUGGAUGGGAGCUGAUGGGGAGGAGGUGGAGACACAGCACAGGUACUCAAACCUUUUUGGCACUCAACCUUUACCACUGCUGAUUGGGGCAGUUGCUGUUUUUCAGUAGUGACUUAGCAGGGAUCAGUUCUGGCAGACCCUCCUAAGGCACUGGGGUCUUAGGAUAAAAAGAAAAGAAGAUCCCGAUUGGAUCAGGCCAGAGGACCAUCUAGUCCAGUGGCCAACCAGUAGCCCACAAGCAGCACCUAAGUGCAAUAGCUCUUACCCCCCUGCAAUAGCCUUAUUCUCCAUGAAUUUGUCUGCUCUUUUAAAGCCAUCCAAGUUGAUGCCCAUCUCUUGUCGCCGCUGUCCGACAGUGCCAACUCCUGAUGCCAGUCCUGGUAUUCAUUUCCCAUUUUGUCUCAAAGCUCAUUUGACUUUCAAAUGACUUUCAAGACAAAGAUCGAGAGGGCAGCUGAGCAUGUGGGAAGAGAAUGGCGAGUAACUGUUAGCUCUCCCUUCAUUUACAGGUAUAAUGAUAUGCUAUCUUGCAUCUGCAAUUAACCUAAGCUUUAAACUCUUAUCGGGCAGAGGGGGCAAGAGAGGCUCCUCAUCUACGGUGAACUGAGUCUGCCGUGAGCCAGGAAGUUGCUGCAAGGACAACUUUUGGACAGGCACAGAAAAUGGUAACGUUGCAUUUCUAACCAUGUCUAUUCAAAAGCAGUUUGGUUGUUUUUAGUUUAGACAAAAGACAAGUAAGAGAUGACAUGAUAAAAGCUUGUAAAAUUUGCAGGGCAUGGAGAAAAUGAAUAGAAAAGUUUUUUUUAAAAAAAAAUUAAAUCAUUUUUUAAAAAAUAUUUUUAUUAAAGAUUUCUUUACAAAAAUAUGUGCGUUGUCUCUUUUUUCAAGUUGUGUUUUCUAAAGAUCAGUUUCAUUUGUUGUGAGUCAUUAGUGUUACAUACAGUGUUAGGUUAGGAAGAAAAUGGGGAAAGAGAGGGGAGGGGGCAUGGAGAGUGGGGUGGGGUCGGGUGGUUACGCUUCAGUUCUUCUACUUAGUGUAUGUGUGGGGUUUCAUGUCAGUGUCAUUUGUGUGGGUUCUCUUACUUUUCGCUUGUUGUAUUUCCUUGGUGGUGAGAGAGGUUGCGGGGGUGGCAUAGUUUGUGGUUGGUUGUCUUUGGCUGGCUGUAGUGAGAUUUGAUUUUGUGUGUGAGCGGUGUGUGUGUAUUUGAAUCAGAUUGCCAGAUUGAUUUGUAUGCUGUCAGCGGAUUCUUGUUGUUGUCUUCUUGAUAGAAAAGCUUUUCUCCCUCUCAUAAUAGCUCAGCUGGUUAGAAUGCAGCACUUGUAACACCAAGGUUGCAGGUUUGAUCCCCAUAUGGGACAGCUGCAUAUUUAUGCAUCGCAAAAGGUUGAAUGAGAUGAUCCUCAGGGUUCCUUCAAACACUACAAUUCUAUGAUUCUGUGAGAAUUCGGGGACAUCCAAGCUGAAUGUUGGAAGGUUCCAGACGGAUAAAAGAAAGCACUUCUUCACACAAUGCUUAGCUAAACUAUGGAACUUGCUCCCACAGGAGGCAGCGAUGGCCACCAACCAAGAUGGUAUAAAAGAGGAUUAGACAAAUUCAUGGAGGAGAAGGCUGUCAAUAGCUACUAACCACAAUGGCUAUGUUCUGCCUCUAUGGUCUGAGGCAGUGAUGCUUCUGAGUACCAGUUACUGGAAAAACAGGAGGAGAGAAUGCUAUUGUGCUCAGGUCUUGCCUGAGGGUUUGCUAAAGCCAUCUGGAUGGGCACUGUGAGAAGAUGCUGGACUAGAUGGGCCAUUGGCCUUACCCAGCAGGCUCUCUUUAUGUUCUUACAUUUUUAUGUCCUAUUAAAUCCAAUGGACCUUACUCCAAGGUACAUGGGGUUAGGAUGGCAGCCCCUAGAAUCAUAUCCAUGGAGCAUAAAGAGCAAUUGGGUGGACAUGCAGAGUUUGCAGAGACUUUGAAAACGUUCUCCCUUUUUUAUUUUAGCUGGACAAAUGUUAAACUUUAGCAGCAGCAGCCCUGUAAAAAGGAAAGCUAUUGAACAGGGAGAACAGGAAGACGCUGGCUUAUCUGAAGCUGGGUAUGAAAUGUUAUUUCAGGGCAGUGCUAGCAAAUUCCUAUUAUAUUUCUCCCCCUCCCUGUCAGCUAAUCCGUGGAGAUAGAAUGAUGAAGCUGCUGCACUGAAGGGAGACAUCUCCAAUUAGAGGUGGAAACAAGAAAAGGGCAAAAGGGGAGAAAGGAAAACAGGAAGAUUAUUUUGGAAGCAAG
Non-coding RNA from Podarcis lilfordi (Lilford's wall lizard), 11627 nucleotides. Lineage: Eukaryota; Metazoa; Chordata; Lepidosauria; Squamata; Lacertidae. The record is from the annotation of a GenBank genome assembly.